Molecule: ribosomal RNA, 253 nt
Filed under: uncultured bacterium
Lineage: Bacteria
Description: partial 16S ribosomal RNA
Rfam family: Bacterial small subunit ribosomal RNA
Source: RNAcentral
UACGUAGGGUGCAAGCGUUGUCCGGAAUUAUUGGGCGUAAAGAGCUCGUAGGUGGCCUGUCGCGUCGGCUGUGAAAACUCGGGGCUCAACUCCGAGCUUGCAGUCGAUACGGGCAGGCUAGAGUUCGGCAGGGGAGACUGGAAUUCCUGGUGUAGCGGUGAAAUGCGUAGAGACCCGGAGGAACACCAGUGGCGAAGGCGGCUUCCUGGUCUGCGACUGACGCUGUGGCGCGAAAGCUAGGGGAGCAAACGGG